GACCACGAUAGCGUUUGUAUCUCACGCUGCUCCAAACGCUGCUCCAGCUUCUUUUGCCGCGAUGCAAGCUACAAUUAUUGCUUUUUGAAAGCAGUGAACGAGCUAUUAUACAUUCCGCGACUCUCCACUCAAACCAUACACCAUAUGUUCGCUUCUGAAAAAGAUGGCCACCAAGAAAGAUAUGCGGAGACCGGAGCUCGUUGUUCCAUAUGUUGAGCCGCCGGCGAAAGCGUCAGAUGCUUCGGAUAUGAGCAGCACGAUGUCGAACACGAUGCCCAUGGCUGCGAUGUUCUCGAGAAAUAAGAUGAUUGCAUGGGCUGCCGUUACGUUCUCCCUGCAAAACUGGAUGGCGGAAACCCCAGAGCAGCAAAAGAAGGCAGCAACGCCCGCAUACAUGGGUGUGAUUAUGGCCUUCCUCUCUAUCCUUGUCACAUACAUGCCCAUGUUUCUCCCUCCUCCCGGGAGGCCUACACCCAAAGCAGCUGCUGCCCCUCCGAUGCCACCCCCCUAAUAGACCGCUAUGAAAGAGGGUUUUUCAUGAACCCUUUUCUAUAUUCUCUGUAUUCAGAGGUAAAUAUUUAUGACGAAGGAUAUUUACUUGCAAGUUUCGAUAUUCUAUGCAUACUUAUAGCCAGAUGCCAUGUUUUGGAAAAGUGCUUUUCCGAACGAUAUACACAGGCUGCGUUAACAAAAUGUACCAUAUUAUUAUUUUUUAACAAUUUUUCAUUCUCAAGCAAUUCCGCAACCCCUCAUACUCUGUGGUUGUGUCAAAUUAAUUCAUCAAAAUAUUUCCUAGCGACCUAACCACAUUGUGAAAAGAUACAACUACUACGACACCACAACACAGAAAGUUAGCAAAAGUACCAGCCGUUCUUCCCCAUAUUCACAGGUAUCCCCACCAACCAGCCAGCCCCCUCCUUUAAAUUCUAAUUGCUUGCUUUGACUGGUGAAUACCACAACACUUAGCCCAUCCCCUCCCCCGCCUCCUUACACUCGUGGCCUUGACUCAUCAUGUGUUGCUAAAUUCAUACUGCUCCCAGCCUCUUCCCAGCCCAGCUCCUCUAUUCUAGGCCGCGCAAGCAAUGCCGUGUUUUGCCUUUUUAUUGAAUGAUUUCUGGUUAAUGCUCUCAAUACCGUUUUAGGAGGGGUUAGACGCCCAGCCUCUCCGAUCAACGAUUUCUGGAAGCG
This 1188-nucleotide small RNA is filed under the name Histoplasma capsulatum var. duboisii H88. Its description in RNAcentral is "Histoplasma capsulatum H88 hypothetical RNA". The record is from RNAcentral. Lineage: Eukaryota; Fungi; Ascomycota; Eurotiomycetes; Onygenales; Ajellomycetaceae.